CGGAAGGGGCAAGCGUUGUUCGGAAUCAUUGGGCGUAAAGGGCGCGUAGGUGGUUCUGUAUGUCUACCGUGAAAGCGUACAGCUCAACUGUAUUUUGUCGGUAGAAACUGCAGGACUUGAGGCUGGGAGGGGCUGGUGGAAUUCCCUGUGUAGCGGUGAAAUGCGUAGAGAUGGGGGAGAACACUCGUGGCGAAGGCGGCCAGCUAGACCAGUUCUGACACUGAGGCGCGACAGCGUGGGGAGCAAACAGGAUUAGAUACCCUGGUAGUCCACGCUGUAAACGAUGGGCACUAGGUGCCGGCGGUCUUGAUCCCGUCGGUGCCGGCGCUAACGCAGUAAGUGCCCCGCCUGGGGAGUACGGUCGCAAGGCUG
This 372-nucleotide ribosomal RNA is filed under the name uncultured organism. Its description in RNAcentral is "bacterial SSU rRNA". It matches the Rfam family "Bacterial small subunit ribosomal RNA", at positions 526 to 896 of the family's 1533-position model. The record is from RNAcentral.